CCCUCCACCCUCCACCCUCCACCUCCACCCGAGAGAAUCGAUGCUUUACCGUUACUCCGACCGGCUGUACUGUGCUCCGUUCCCACUGCCGUGUUUAUGGCGUUUUGGGUUUCUUUGUGUUGAGCGUUAGAGGCGAAGCCGUCAAUGUUGCCCUUCUGUUACUGUUGAAAUCCAUUUGAACAAUGAAAAUUGUUGGGGCUCAUAAGCGCUAGCGGCUCGGCCGCGCGUUUACCGUUCCUACUUUAUAGACUAAAUAUAAGUAAAUCGAUUGUUCUCGCUCGCUCGAAAUGUAUGAGCGACAUGUCCAAGAAAUGUUAACAACGGGCAAACCCGAUGCUACGUUAAGAUGGUUUUUUAUGAUCAUAAUUUACAGUCGUAAUAUCUUGAGUGUUUCAUAAAAUGUUCUUUAUCACACUUGUGUGGGAAUAAACUCAUUUAAAACAUGAUAUUGAUCCACAAUUUUGUAAAUUUUUCACGUAAGGUUAGAAGGCAAAGAUCCAUUCUUAAUAGAACCACGAUUGAAAAUUAUUCAUAAGUUUAAUUUUAUACCAAAAAUAACAUUUACAUGACUAAUACUUAUAAUAAAAACCGUUUUUUCCCUAAGAGAAACGAUUACUUCCUAUUGUGUCGAAAAUCGUCCUUUUCAAGCAAGUGUGAUGAGAAGAAAACUAUUCACAUUUACUAUGACUUAAUUUACUCUACGUGUGAUCCGUAAUAACGUUGCAUAUUUUCUAUGGUUGGGCAAUAUUGACGAGCUUUGCCUUGAAACACUUGUUCUGUUCUGGUAUUUUCGUUCCAAGCUGACGACCUAUCCAAGAUGACAAUGGUACUACAUCGACACACGCCAAACGAAAAGAAAAAAUUAUCGGGAUGCUACGUAAAGUGGCUAUUCCCAUACAUUUUUGUCUUUCGAUUGGCGUUUUCUAUCGAUGGUUGUCAUCUAGGCUAGGCUUUCAUGCCAUUUUCAAUCGUGGUUAUGGAUUGUAAGGGUAUUGCCUUCGCAUUCUCGCUCGUGGUUCGCCGAGCCAUAGCAUCGUGUCCACGCCUGCAUGCAUACCGCAGCACACCGAGAUAACAGUAGCUAAUUAUUAUUAUACGAAAAUAGAUACUAAUUAACUUGAAAGAGCUGUACUCCAGUAUAUCAUUUUACGGUUUAAAUCACGUAUAGGCGUGUCUAAUUGUCACUCCGCUGGACAUAUUUCGCUCGCUUAGUGAGAGUAAAACCGUAAAAUUAUACUGUCUUAACUUUAGUAUGUCUCAUAAAAAAAAACAAAUACUAUUAUUUACCAGUGCUGUAUCUAUAUUUGUUAAUAUAAUAAAAUUGACAUAGUUCAUUUAACGUAUAAUCACUGAUGAUCUAAUAUUUUGUCGAGAAUGACCGUAAAGUUGCUCAUUCUCAUUGCCGUUAAAUAUGUUGAUAACGAAUUUAAAUUUAAUUACCUUAAGUUAAUUGUUAACUCGGUGAGCAAUUAGGUAAUUGUACCUGUAUUGAUCUCUAGCAGUCUUAUAAAGACUAAGGAGCAUUAUAUAAUUCAACCCCAAGGCUCGGAUACCGGUUAGUUUUUCAAACAAUUUCAUUUUAUAUGACCUAAAACUUUUAUUUUGAUUUCGUUUUAGAAACUUUAUUUUAUCGGCUUUUGAAGCAGUAUUUUAAACCUAAAGGUUUUUAUUUUUACUGGUUAAAACCAGUUAAAUUCCGUUGUCCACGACAGUAGGCAGCUAAGGCUUUAUUUCGGUUCGGAGCUAAACCGGUAUUUUUUUUUUUAUUAUGAAUGGUUCCGAGCCUUGAUCGACCCGCUUUCCUUGGCAGCAUGUGAUUUCAUUGACUUGGAUGUUGUGGUUAGUGAUUUUUUUUAUUAGAAUAAUUAGCACUACCGUGUAGUGUGUAAAUGUAGAAACAUUGAAUGUUUCCAGAAUAAAAUGUAUUUUAUUAAAUCUGUUGAAUCUCCUAGAUUUUUUUCUUUGUAAUUAUGUAAUAAGCAGACGAUUUAUUAUAGCCUCUAAGGUAUGUGUAUCUAUAUCCAAUUCUUCCAUAUUAUUGUGAAAGUUGAAUUUGCUUGUAUCUAUUGUAGAAAUACUCAAAAGUUAUAUUGAUAACUGGUCAGCAUGUUAUCUUGACUUGCAUGUGGCUGCUAUACUCGAUGCUUCAAGGCAGCUAAAUACACUUUACUUGAUUUGGUGUAAAUAUACUAUAAAAGGCAACUAUAAAUAGGGGUCAUCCAUUAAUUACAUCACACGUUUAGGGGGAGGGAGGGGUCAAGAAAAUGUGACAUGUUGUGACAUGGGGGAGGGGGGAGACACAAACUUUGUGACGUCACUUUAACUUCAUCAGUAACCCAAAAUUUUUUUUAUUUUUUUUAUUCGCUGUACAUUUAAAUAACAAGUUUUUAAAACGAUAAUCGUUUUUAUUCGUUUAAUUUUCUUUCCUAUGCAGUUUUGGGUUAUAAAAUUACCAAUAUUUAUAUCGUCAAAAAUAUAUUAAUAAAAUAUUAAUAAUACUUAGGUACUUACUUAAUUCGAUUUGGCGAUUUCGUAGAAAAAAUGUGACGUCACACUAGGGGGGAGGGGUUUGCCAAAUGUGACCAAGUGUGACAAGGAGGGGGGGAGGGGUCAAAAAACCUAGAAAUUCGUGUGACGUAAUUAAUGGAUGACCCCAUAUAAAUCGUAUACGUAACAAGUUAACGUAGCAGUAGUGAGGAUAAACGCCCGAAACUCUCUACAAAAAAAGACGCUUACAUUAUUCAGGUUAGCAAAAGCCGUUAGGUCGAAUUCUAGGUUUCAAAUUUUAAAUAUAUAAUAUAUAUAUAAACCAUUUGAUUUCAAUGCAGUUGAUAACUUACAACGAGAAAAAAAAAUCGUGUUUUAAUCAUUUUACUCAAUUUACUGUCACUUGUUUUGCGAAUUUAAGUUCAACAGGAGUUGGUAUCUAUUUCAAUUGCUUUAUGUAGUGAGCAAUUGAAAUUUUUUAAUUCCAUUAUGGCCCUUAUGCGGCGUAAUUUUGUAGUAAGUUCGCGAUUGGUAAUAGUAGCAAAUCAAAAUGUAUACCGCUGUGUUAGCUGGUUAAAAGUAGUCAAAAGCUAUUUUAACACCACGAAUAAAAUUUUGCGCAUCUAUCAUUUGUAUUGUAUUUGAAUUUAUUGAGCCUUUUAUCAGUAAUAUAUGUGUAUGUUUGUCUGAUGUGAUGAUUGCUGUUAGUAAUCGCAAGUGCAUGCAACUGCGACGUAUGGCCUGCUCAGUAGGCCUAGCACAGGAGCGACGACGCGACAAUAUCUCGCACGCGAGAUGGACUACCCGUCUUUUUAUUACGAGAUAUUGUCGCGCCGCUUGAGUGCUAGGCAUAUAGUUACAUAAAUACCCUCAAGCUCAGAUUUAUACGAAUCGUUACUUACUUACUCACUUAAUGAAUUUAUUUUACUACUUACAAUGUCGGGUAUUAACCGAAUUUAAAAUCUUAAUAAUGCAAUUAACGCUUUACGUUUUGAUAUUAUUUGAAGUAUAAGAUAAGUAUUUAAGUUUUGUUUACACAAUUGAUUUGUGUGGUGUGAUAAUUUAUUGACACCUGUAAUACAUAUAUCCAACGCAUGUGUUGUGUAGAUUUUGUAGUGGGGACUGUAGCAGCAAUGUUUAGGGUCCAGCCGCCAUCAGAUAUAUCGGAGCUGCCGAGGUGCCCAUAAUUAUCUGAUUACACACUAUAACGCCUUAACAAUAGAAGCGUGUUCAGAUACUUGUGAGCACCUUGGCCGCUCCGAUAUAUCUGAUGGCGAAUGUACCUUGCACUUUUUAGGCGAUUCCGCGUGGCAUGUUAGCUCCUUGGCGAUACUAACUCGAGCUAAUCUUGUACCACUUCAAUAUGUACACUAUUUCUGCCGAUUCAAAGAUAUUGUCACAUCAUGUUUGCUAUCAUUUUAUCGAGAUAUUGAAAUUAAAAAAAAGUGCUAGGUUUCUGCUACUACAGCCCUCGCAAGUUUGUCAUGUGAUUUUAUAGUGAUGUCUUAUCUCAUUUCUAUUUUGUGCAAUUACGUUAAAUAAACGUAUUUUCGUUCAGUAUUGUAUUAGCCUACAAUUGUUUAUAUUUCUACAAUGCAUUUUUUUAAAAUACAAUCGCCAGGGCUCGGAACCGGUAUUAAAAUACCUGUUAAUAUAGUUCCAAACUCUUCCAUUAAAAACCGGUAAGUUGUUGGAAUGCGAACUACGUUAAAAAAUUACGUUCUCUUUUCCAACCGGUAAAAAGACGGAACAGAAUGUUAUGGUUCGCGGGGAACGAUAUAAUACCGGUUACUCUCUUCUUUCAGAAACUCGGUUUAACUCGUUAUCAUACGUGAAAAAGACAGCAAUAACUUACUCGUUCUAUCUAGCUUCGAUAUUUCCAAUUUCACCGGUAAAUUACGUUCCACAAAAAAACAAAUUGGUAUAAACUGGUAUAUAUCUCAAUAGAACAGUUGUUUAACCGGUAACCGCAAACGAAACUCUUCAUUCCCGGGGGAAUGAAUGAACCGGUUUAAAAAUAAUACGGUUUCUGAGCCCUGACAGUCGCAAAUUAAAAAUUAUUAGGUUAGAAAUUUUAAAUUUAGCCUUAACUAAACAGUGGGCAAUAAAAUGUUCACUGCAAUAAACGUGAACAUAAUGAUUUCUUGAUAUCCUCAUAAAUUAGCUUUAAGCAAAGAUUAUUAUAUUAACGAAUCUAUAAAGCGUAACGGAAUAGGUUUAUCUGUUUACAUCAGAUAUCGACAUUUAUGUACAUAACUUGUAAUAUGAAAUAAAUUUUGUUGAAAUAUU
Long non-coding RNA from Cydia fagiglandana, 4776 nucleotides. RefSeq lists it as uncharacterized. NCBI's taxonomy places the organism in Eukaryota, Metazoa, Arthropoda, Insecta, Lepidoptera, Tortricidae. The record is from RefSeq and is a predicted model, not a curated record. The transcript has 2 exons.